RNAcentral lists this ribosomal RNA (253 nucleotides) under uncultured bacterium. RNAcentral's name for it is "partial 16S ribosomal RNA". It matches the Rfam family "Bacterial small subunit ribosomal RNA", at positions 524 to 776 of the family's 1533-position model. The record is from RNAcentral.
CACGUAGGCACCAAGCGUUGUCCGGAAUUAUUGGGCGUAAAGAGCUUGUAGGCGGUCUGUCGCGUCUGCUGUGAAAGUCCGGGGCUCAACCCCGGACUUGCAGUGGGUACGGGCAGACUAGAGUGUGGUAGGGGAGACUGGAAUUCCUGGUGUAGCGGUGAAAUGCGCAGAUAUCAGGGGGAACACCGAUGGCGAAGGCAGGUCUCUGGGCCACUACUGACGCUGAGAAGCGAAAGCAUGGGGAGCGAACAGG